RNAcentral lists this ribosomal RNA (433 nucleotides) under uncultured Desulfobulbus sp. RNAcentral's name for it is "bacterial SSU rRNA". It matches the Rfam family "Bacterial small subunit ribosomal RNA", at positions 952 to 1382 of the family's 1533-position model. The record is from RNAcentral. Lineage: Bacteria; Pseudomonadati; Thermodesulfobacteriota; Desulfobulbia; Desulfobulbales; Desulfobulbaceae.
CGAUGCAACGCGAAGAACUACCUGGUCUUGACAUCCCGGAGACCCUUAGGAAACUAGGGGUGCUUCCAUCUGGAAGAAUCUGGAGACAGGUGCUGCAUGGCUGUCGUCAGCUCGUGUCGUGAGAUGUUGGGUUAAGUCCCGCAACGAGCGCAACCCUUGCCUUUAGUUGCCAGCAGUUCGGCUGGGCACUCUAAAGGGACUGCCGGUGUUAAACCGGAGGAAGGUGGGGAUGACGUCAAGUCCUCAUGGCCUUUAUGACCAGGGCUACACACGUACUACAAUGGCCGAUACAAAGGGCAGCGACACUGCGAGGUGAAGCCAAUCCCGUAAAAUCGGUCUCAGUCCGGAUUGGAGUCUGCAACUCGACUCCAUGAAGUUGGAAUCGCUAGUAAUCGUGGAUCAGCAUGCCACGGUGAAUACGUUCCCGGGCCUU